This 467-nucleotide ribosomal RNA is filed under the name uncultured bacterium. Its description in RNAcentral is "bacterial SSU rRNA". It matches the Rfam family "Bacterial small subunit ribosomal RNA", at positions 355 to 825 of the family's 1533-position model. The record is from RNAcentral.
UGAGGAAUAUUGGACAAUGGACGCAAGCCUGAUCCAGCCAUGCCGCGUGCAGGAUGACGGUCCUAUGGAUUGUAAACUGCUUUUGUACAGGAAGAAACAGUUCUACGUGUAGAACCUUGACGGUACUGUAAGAAUAAGGAUCGGCUAACUCCGUGCCAGCAGCCGCGGUAAUACGGAGGAUCCAAGCGUUAUCCGGAAUCAUUGGGUUUAAAGGGUCCGUAGGCGGUUAGAUAAGUCAGUGGUGAAAGCCCAUCGCUCAACGGUGGAACGGCCAUUGAUACUGUCUGACUUGAAUUAUUAGGAAGUAACUAGAAUAUGUAGUGUAGCGGUGAAAUGCUUAGAGAUUACAUGGAAUACCAAUUGCGAAGGCAGGUUACUACUAAUGGAUUGACGCUGAUGGACGAAAGCGUGGGUAGCGAACAGGAUUAGAUACCCUCGUAGUCCCUGAGCGGGCUGGCAAGGCGCAU